CAGUCGCCACGGUAAUACGAAGGGUGCAAGCGUUACUCGGAAUUACUGGGCGUAAAGCGUGCGUAGGUGGUGGUUUAAGUCCGUUGUGAAAGCCCUGGGCUCAACCUGGGAAUUGCAGUGGAUACUGGGUCACUAGAGUGUGGUAGAGGAUAGUGGAAUUUCCGGUGUAGCAGUGAAAUGCGUAGAGAUCGGAAGGAACAUCUGUGGCGAAGGCGACUAUCUGGGCCAACACUGACACUGAGGCACGAAAGCGUGGGGAGCAAACGGGAUUAGAUACCCGCGUAGUCCCUGUCUCUUAUAC
This 301-nucleotide ribosomal RNA is filed under the name uncultured bacterium. RNAcentral describes it as "partial 16S ribosomal RNA". It matches the Rfam family "Bacterial small subunit ribosomal RNA", at positions 509 to 807 of the family's 1533-position model. The record is from RNAcentral.